This 488-nucleotide ribosomal RNA is filed under the name uncultured bacterium. Its description in RNAcentral is "partial 16S ribosomal RNA". It matches the Rfam family "Bacterial small subunit ribosomal RNA", at positions 28 to 507 of the family's 1533-position model. The record is from RNAcentral.
GACGAACGCUGGCGGCGUGCCUAAUACAUGCAAGUCGAACGGAAAGGCCCUGCUUUUGGGGGGCACUCGAGUGGAGAAAGGGUGAGUAAAACGGGAGUAACCAGCCCUUGAAUUUGGGAUAAAUUCAGGGAAAACGGGCUAAUACCGGAUAUGAGCUCCUGCAGCAUGGUGUGCGUUGGAAAGUUACGGUGGUUGGGGAUGGACUCGCGGCUUAUCAGCUUGUUGGUCGGGUAAUGGCUUACCAAGGCUAUGAUGGGUAGCCGACAUGAGAGGGUGACAGGCCACACUGGAACUGAGACACGGCCCAGAGUCCUAGGGGAGGCACCAGUAGGGAAUCGUGGGCAAUGGGGGAAAGUAUGACCGAGAAAGGCCGAGGGAGUGAAGAAGGUCUUCGGAUCGGAAAACUCUGUUAUUAGGGAAGAACACGGUUGUUAGUAACUGAACGCGCCAUGACGGUAACUAAGCAGAAAGCCACGGCUAACUACGUG